RNAcentral lists this ribosomal RNA (578 nucleotides) under Gammaproteobacteria bacterium TMED1. RNAcentral's name for it is "bacterial SSU rRNA". It matches the Rfam family "Bacterial small subunit ribosomal RNA", at positions 1 to 571 of the family's 1533-position model. The record is from RNAcentral. Lineage: Bacteria; Pseudomonadati; Pseudomonadota; Gammaproteobacteria.
AAAUUGAAGAGUUUGAUCAUGGCUCAGAUUGAACGUUGGCGGCAGGCCUUACACAUGCAAGUCGAACGGUAACAGCGGAGCUUGCUCCGGCUGACGAGUGGCGGACGGGUGAGUAACGCGUGGGAAUCUACCCAGUAGCGGGGGAUAGCCCGGGGAAACCCGGAUUAAUACCGCAUACGCCCUAAGGGGGAAAGCGGGGGACCUUUCGAGGCCUCGCACUAUUGGAGGAGCCCGCGUUGGAUUAGCUAGUUGGUGGGGUAAAAGCCUACCAAGGCGACGAUCCAUAGCUGGUCUGAGAGGACGAUCAGCCACACUGGGACUGAGACACGGCCCAGACUCCUACGGGAGGCAGCAGUGAGGAAUAUUGUGCAAUGGGCGAAAGCCUGACACAGCCAUGCCGCGUGUGUGAAGAAGGCCCUAGGGUUGUAAAGCACUUUCAGUAGCAAGGAACUAACCGGGUUAAUAUCCCGGCGAAAUGACGUUAGCUACAGAAGAAGUACCGGCUAACUCCGUGCCAGCAGCCGCGGUAAUACGGAGGGUACGAACGUUAAUCGGAAUUACUGGGCGUAAAGCGCGCG